This 881-nucleotide ribosomal RNA is filed under the name uncultured bacterium. Its description in RNAcentral is "bacterial SSU rRNA". It matches the Rfam family "Bacterial small subunit ribosomal RNA", at positions 65 to 938 of the family's 1533-position model. The record is from RNAcentral.
AACGGCAGCACGGAGCUUGCUCUGGUGGCGAGUGGCGAACGGGUGAGUAAUAUAUCGGAACGUACCCUAGAGUGGGGGAUAACGUAGCGAAAGUUACGCUAAUACCGCAUACGAUCUAAGGAUGAAAGUGGGGGAUUCGCAAGAACCUCAUGCUCGUGGAGCGGCCGAUAUCUGAUUAGCUAGUUGGUAGGGUAAAAGCCUACCAAGGCAUCGAUCAGUAGCUGGUCUGAGAGGACGACCAGCCACACUGGAACUGAGACACGGUCCAGACUCCUACGGGAGGCAGCAGUGGGGAAUUUUGGACAAUGGGCGAAAGCCUGAUCCAGCAAUGCCGCGUGAGUGAAGAAGGCCUUCGGGUUGUAAAGCUCUUUUGUCAGGGAAGAAACGGUGGUUUCUAAUACAGAUCACUAAUGACGGUACCUGAAGAAUAAGCACCGGCUAACUACGUGCCAGCAGCCGCGGUAAUACGUAGGGUGCAAGCGUUAAUCGGAAUUACUGGGCGUAAAGCGUGCGCAGGCGGUUUUGUAAGUCUGUCGUGAAAUCCCCGGGCUCAACCUGGGAAUUGCGAUGGAGACUGCAAGGCUAGAGUUUGGCAGAGGGGGGGUAGAAUUCCACGUGUAGCAGUGAAAUGCGUAGAUAUGUGGAGGAACACCGAUGGCGAAGGCAGCCCCCUGGGUCAAGACUGACGCUCAUGCACGAAAGCGUGGGGAGCAAACAGGAUUAGAUACCCUGGUAGUCCACGCCCUAAACGAUGUCUACUAGUUGUCGGGUUUUAAUUAACUUGGUAACGCAGCUAACGCGUGAAGUAGACCGCCUGGGGGAGUACGGUCGCAAGAUUAAAACUCAAAGGAAUUGACGGGGACCCGCACAAGCGGUGGAUG